This 897-nucleotide long non-coding RNA is filed under the name Gossypium barbadense (sea-island cotton). RNAcentral's name for it is "long non-coding RNA (GBAR_LNC019567)". Lineage: Eukaryota; Viridiplantae; Streptophyta; Magnoliopsida; Malvales; Malvaceae. The record is from RNAcentral.
AUAGAAAAGAAAAAAAAAGGCCUCCCAUUUCAUUUUCUCUGUUAGGGUUUUAAAACCCUUUUUAGCCGCCAUCGCAGCUCCACCGCUAAUGGUGGUCGGAGACGCGCCAUUUUAGGCUCUUAGCCUCUUUCAAGCAGAUCCGAAGGCAAAGGUAACCCUUUUUUUUUAUCUUCUUGUUGAAAGGGAAACAAAACAGAAUAAAAAAAUAAAAAUAAAAAAGAAAGAGGAAAGAUUGAAAUCAAAAACAGGAAAUCACCUUAGUUUUUUUUUGCUUUUUAUUUCUUUUCUUCUUAAUGUUUUCUUUCUUUUUUUACAAAAAAAAUCGGGACUCCCAAGUACAGUGAUGAAGCCCCCCUGAUUACAUUUCUUCAUGGCUUUUAUAGCCUAAAAAUCUGUUCUAUUCUAUUUUAUUUUUCAUUUCUGUCCAACAUUGCUACUGUUGCUAUUGUUGUUUUCAUCUUUUCUUGCAGGUAUCCUUUUCAGCCUUCUUUUGCAGUCGAUGGCGGUCAACGGAGGCAAGUAUUUGCCGUUUUGGUGCAAGGCGCGCAGACCUCGGGCGUGGUGCGCGCUGAAGGCGCACAUGGGUAGCAGCGGCGCGAGGCAAGGGCAGGGAACCCUAGGGUUCCCUGUGCUGUUUAGUUUUUGGGCCCCAAUGGGCCGUUCAAGGUUUUAAAGAUUUGGGCCGUUUUGGCCUGUUGUACAUGGAUCGUUUUGGGCCCGGGCAAAUUGGGUUGUACAUCCUUCCUCAUCUUUCAUAAUUCCUAAGAUGGCUCAUACUUUACUUUGGUUAAAUUUCUUCUUAAUCCUUCCUUCCUUUUCACUACUAUUAUGUAUCUCCUAACUUAUUAUUUUUCCUAUCUUGGCCACAACAAAUUCUCUAUUCUUUCAAUUAAGUCA